ACGAACGCUGGCGGCGUGCUUAACACAUGCAAGUCGAACGGAAAGGCCCUGCUUGCAGGGUGCUCGAGUGGCGAACGGGUGAGUAACACGUGGGUGAUCUGCCCCUUACUUUGGGAUAAGCCUGGGAAACUGGGUCUAAUACUGGAUAGGACCAUGCUGUAGGUGGUGUGGUGGAAAGAUUAGUUUCGGUAAGGGAUGAGCUCGCGGCCUAUCAGCUUGUUGGUGGGGUAAUGGCCUACCAAGGCGUCGACGGGUAGCCGGCCUGCGAGGGUGGACGGCCACAUUGGGACUGAGAUACGGCCCAGACUCCUACGGGAGGCAGCAGUGGGGAAUAUUGCACAAUGGGCGCAAGCCUGAUGCAGCGACGCCGCGUGGGGGAUGACGGCCUUCGGGUUGUAAACUCCUUUCAGCCAUGACGAAGCCCUUGUGGUGACGGUAGUGGUAGAAGAAGCACCGGCUAACUACGU
RNAcentral lists this ribosomal RNA (467 nucleotides) under uncultured bacterium. Its description in RNAcentral is "partial 16S ribosomal RNA". It matches the Rfam family "Bacterial small subunit ribosomal RNA", at positions 29 to 506 of the family's 1533-position model. The record is from RNAcentral.